AUGUUUAGAUAGCCAUGCACGUCUAAGUACAAACUAAAAGAAGGUGAAACAGCAAAUCGGCUCAUUACAACGGUUAUGAUGUACCCGGGAGUUCCGAUGGAUAUUUCCAGUAACACUAGAACUAAUACAUGUCCCUGCGUUUAUUAGUUUCGCACAGUCCGUCGCUGAGUCAUGGUAAACAGUUGAUCGACUCGACGUCCCGGAACAGUUUCCGCCCCAUCAGCUUCGAUGGUUGGGUAUUGGCCUACCAUUGCAACAACGGGUAACGAGGAAUUAGGGUUUGAUUUCGGAGAGGGAGCCUGAGAAACGGCUACCACAUCUACGGAUGGCAGCAGGCGCGCAAAUUACCCAAUGCAGACACUGUGAGGUAGUGACGAGAAAUAAUAAAGCGGGACUUCUGUUUCGCUAUUAUAAUGAGGAAUAACCAAAAGUCAUUCCGAUUAGCAACUGAUGGGAAAGUCUGGUGCCAGCAGCCGCGGUAAUACCAGCGUCAGUAGCAU
RNAcentral lists this ribosomal RNA (500 nucleotides) under uncultured Myrionecta. RNAcentral describes it as "SSU rRNA". It matches the Rfam family "Eukaryotic small subunit ribosomal RNA", at positions 40 to 600 of the family's 1831-position model. The record is from RNAcentral. Lineage: Eukaryota; Ciliophora; Litostomatea; Cyclotrichida; Mesodiniidae.